RNAcentral lists this ribosomal RNA (492 nucleotides) under uncultured bacterium. RNAcentral's name for it is "partial 16S ribosomal RNA". It matches the Rfam family "Bacterial small subunit ribosomal RNA", at positions 29 to 523 of the family's 1533-position model. The record is from RNAcentral.
AUUGAACGCUGGCGGCAUGCUUUACACAUGCAAGUCGAACGGUAACAGGUUAAGCUGACGAGUGGCGAACGGGUGAGUAAUGCAUCGGAACGUGCCCGGUCGUGGGGGAUAACGCAGCGAAAGCUGCGCUAAUACCGCAUACGAUCUGAGGAUGAAAGCGGGGGACCGUAAGGCCUCGCGCGAUCGGAGCGGCCGAUGUCAGAUGAGGUAGUUGGUGGGGUAAAGGCUCACCAAGCCAACGAUCUGUAGCUGGUCUGAGAGGACGACCAGCCACACUGGGACUGAGACACGGCCCAGACUCCUACGGGAGGCAGCAGUGGGGAAUUUUGGACAAUGGGCGAAAGCCUGAUCCAGCAAUGCCGCGUGCAGGAAGAAGGCCUUCGGGUUGUAACUGCUUUUGUACGGAGCGAAAAGGUCUCCUCUAAUACAGGGGGCUCAUGACGGUACCGUAAGAAUAAGCACCGGCUAACUACGUGCCAGCCGCCGCAGUAA